AAUAAAAUAAAUCUGGAUGAUAUAUGUACAUGGCAUGUGACACCUAUGCAACAAUGUCAAUUGGUCACACAAGUCACUUAAGUGACUAAAUAAAAUAAAUCAAAAAAAAAAUAAAAAAAAUGUGGGCCUUUGGAUCAAAAGAGAAAGUCAACAAGAUCUAACGGCCACGGGAUCGUCUUCUUCCUCAAGACACUCCGGCCAUGAACAG
Molecule: long non-coding RNA, 208 nt
Filed under: Lathyrus oleraceus (garden pea)
Lineage: Eukaryota; Viridiplantae; Streptophyta; Magnoliopsida; Fabales; Fabaceae
Description: Pisum sativum (pea) long non-coding RNA (PSAT_LNC005484)
Source: RNAcentral